Gorilla gorilla gorilla (western lowland gorilla) is the source of this 674-nucleotide long non-coding RNA. RefSeq lists it as uncharacterized. The record is from RefSeq and is a predicted model, not a curated record. NCBI's taxonomy places the organism in Eukaryota, Metazoa, Chordata, Mammalia, Primates, Hominidae. The transcript has 4 exons.
GUAGCUGUCGUGCACCUCCCGCAGGCGUGGCGGGGGCGCGGCGGGGCCGGUGGCGCGGGAGCGGAAAUGCAUGGCUGAAUACCUUAGGGACCAUCAACCCCCGGUGGUGUCGUUUCCAGUGAAAACCGAACUCCGGGAUGUAGCCGGAUUGGAGAGAAGAGAGUGACACGUGCGCCCCCUUCCUGCGGCGGAUGGAUGAACGGGUGAUUGUGAACAUCUGGUGAGAGAAUGGAUGUGAAGGUCUUUUAGUAACAUUAGAACACUACAAAAAUCACACAUCUGAGUGCAAACACUUCUGAGGCUCAACAGGUCUGAAGUAACCAUGGUCUUCGGUUUACUUCUCCUACCUAUACAUUGCUGGACAGCUCUUCUUCUACUGGCCCGAUUUUGCUAUUGGAGCAUAAUUUCCCAUGAUAAAGUUGAAGGAAAUGAUCAGCUUCUCUGCCUGAUGUGUCUAUGAAUCCUUAGUCUAAUUCUAGAACACACCUUGCCAUACAUGCCAUUUCCCCUGACAAAAAUAAUGUUUACAUUGUAGGGUCCCUAGGGGCAGACAGAGAUCACUGAGCAGCAGCUAGAAAGUAACUAAGACUUUGGAGCUCCUCCAGUGACCCACAUUCUGCGUGAGGCCCACUGGGUUCUCACCAGCACCCCCCGAGGUGGGCAUGUCAGCUGUG